RNAcentral lists this ribosomal RNA (480 nucleotides) under uncultured bacterium. Its description in RNAcentral is "bacterial SSU rRNA". It matches the Rfam family "Bacterial small subunit ribosomal RNA", at positions 28 to 502 of the family's 1533-position model. The record is from RNAcentral.
GAUGAACGCUAGCGGCAGGCUUAACACAUGCAAGUCGAACGGUAACAUUUCUUGCUUGCAAGAAGAUGACGAGUGGCGCACGGGUGCGUAACGCGUAUACAACCUGCCUUGAACAAAGGGAUAGCCCAUGGAAACGUGGAUUAAUACCUUAUAAUAUCUAGACAUAGCAUUAUGACUAGAUCAAAGAUUUAUCGGUUCAAGAGGGGUAUGCGUGACAUUAGCUAGUUGGUGAGGUAACGGCCCACCAAGGCUACGAUGUCUAGGGGUUCUGAGAGGAUGAUCCCCCACACUGGUACUGAGACACGGACCAGACUCCUACGGGAGGCAGCAGUGAGGAAUAUUGCGCAAUGGAGGAAACUCUGACGCAGCCAUGCCGCGUGAAGGAAUGAAUGCCCUAUGGGUUGUAAACUUCUUUUAUAUGGGAAGAAAUAUAGAUACGUGUAUUUAUUUGACGGUACCAUACGAAUAAGACCGCUAACU